RNAcentral lists this unclassified non-coding RNA (329 nucleotides) under soil metagenome. RNAcentral describes it as "partial contains 5.8S ribosomal RNA, internal transcribed spacer 2, and large subunit ribosomal RNA". The stretch from base 1 to 120 matches the Rfam family "5.8S ribosomal RNA", at positions 35 to 154 of the family's 154-position model. The record is from RNAcentral.
GAUGAAGAACGUAGUGAAAUGCGAUAAGUAAUGUGAAUUGCAGAAUUCAGUGAAUCAUUGAAUCUUUGAACGCACAUUGCGCCCCCUGGUAUUCCGGGGGGCAUGCCUGUCCGAGCGUCAUUACAACCCUCAAGCUCAGCUUGGUAUUGGGCCCCGCCGACCCGGCGGGCCCUAAAGUCAGUGGCGGUGCCGUCCGGCUCCGAGCGUAGUAAUUCUUCUCGCUCUGGAGGUCCGGUCGUGUGCUCGCCAGCAACCCCCAAUUUUUUUCAGGUUGACCUCGGAUCAGGUAGGGAUACCCGCUGAACUUAAGCAUAUCAAUAAGCGGAGGA